This 330-nucleotide unclassified non-coding RNA is filed under the name Hevea brasiliensis (rubber tree). Lineage: Eukaryota; Viridiplantae; Streptophyta; Magnoliopsida; Malpighiales; Euphorbiaceae. The record is from RNAcentral.
UGUUGCCAUAUAUCUCAUACACUAGCUAUUUUUCACAAUAAAUCAGUCACUCCUCUCACACAAAACCUUGUUUGGCACUGCAUUUUCAGCUGCUCAUCAAAACUGAUAUUUUAUUUUUACUUUUUUUUUUUUUUUUUUUUUGCAGCUAGUGGACAAUGAUUUGGUGAAAGCUAGAAAAUCUAGCUUUUCCAAAACCAUGGUCUAACAAGCACAGGCUGCGAAAAGCAGCCUACCAGUGCCAGACAGGCCUUAUAUCACCAAAUAGGCACAUAAAAAUUACAAAGCCAACUCAAAAGGAGUCCUCAAGGCUUAACUAUAGAAGUAUGUUUC